AUGAACGCUGGCGGCGUGCCUAAUACAUGCAAGUCGAGCGAACAGACGAGGAGCUUGCUCCUCUGACGUUAGCGGCGGACGGGUGAGUAACACGUGGAUAACCUACCUAUAAGACUGGGAUAACUUCGGGAAACCGGAGCUAAUACCGGAUAAUAUAUUGAACCGCAUGGUUCAAUAGUGAAAGACGGUUUUGCUGUCACUUAUAGAUGGAUCCGCGCCGCAUUAGCUAGUUGGUAAGGUAACGGCUUACCAAGGCAACGAUGCGUAGCCGACCUGAGAGGGUGAUCGGCCACACUGGAACUGAGACACGGUCCAGACUCCUACGGGAGGCAGCAGUAGGGAAUCUUCCGCAAUGGGCGAAAGCUUGACGGAGCAACGCCGCGUGAGUGAUGAAGGUCUUCGGAUCGUAAAACUCUGUUAUUAGGGAAGAACAAAUGUGUAAGUAACUAUGCAUGUCUUGACGGUACCUAAUCAGAAAGCCACGGCUAACUACGUG
This 496-nucleotide ribosomal RNA is filed under the name uncultured bacterium. RNAcentral describes it as "partial 16S ribosomal RNA". It matches the Rfam family "Bacterial small subunit ribosomal RNA", at positions 29 to 507 of the family's 1533-position model. The record is from RNAcentral.